GACGAACGCUGGCGGCGUGCCUAACACAUGCAAGUCGAACGGUAAGGCUUUGCUUUUGUGGGGUGCUCGAGUGGCGAACGGGGGUGUAUCACGUGAGUAACCUGCGCUUGUCUUUGGGGUACCUUCAGGAAACAGGGGUUAAUAUAGGACAGGAGAACCUGCAGCAUGGUGGGGGUUGGAAAGUUUCGGCGGUUGGGGAUGGACGCGCGGCUUAUCGGUUUGUUGGUGGGGUAGUGGCUUAACAAGGCAUCGACGGGUUGCCGGCCUGAGAGUGUGACCGGCCACAUAGGGACUGGGGAAGGGCCCAGACGCCUACGUGAGGCAUCAGUGGGAAUCAUUGCACAAAGGGCGGAAGCCGUAAGCAGCAACGCCGCGUGCGAGAUGACGGCCUGCGGGGAAUAAACCGCUUGCGCCUGUGACGAAGCUUGAGUGACGGUAAUGAGUAAAGAAGCACCGGCUAACUACGUG
Molecule: ribosomal RNA, 468 nt
Filed under: uncultured bacterium
Lineage: Bacteria
Description: partial 16S ribosomal RNA
Rfam family: Bacterial small subunit ribosomal RNA
Source: RNAcentral